Molecule: ribosomal RNA, 539 nt
Filed under: uncultured archaeon
Lineage: Archaea
Description: bacterial SSU rRNA
Rfam family: Archaeal small subunit ribosomal RNA
Source: RNAcentral
GUCAGCAGCCGCGGUAAUACCCGCAGCCCAAGUGGUGGUCGAUUUAUUGAGUCUAAAACGUUCGUAGCCGGUUCAUUAAAUCCUUGGGGUAAAUCGGAUGGCUUAACUAUCCGAAUUCCGGGGAGACUGGUGAACUUGGGACCGGGAGAGGCAAGAGGUACUUUUGGGGUAGGGGUAAAAUCCUGUAAUCCUAAAAGGACCACCGGUGGCGAAGGCGUCUUGCUAGAACGGAUCCGACGGUGAGGGACGAAGCCCUGGGUCGCAAACGGGAUUAGAUACCCCGGUAGUCCAGGGUGUAAACGCUGCAGACUUGGUGUUGGGACCCUUCGGGGGUGUCAGUGCCGGAGAGAAGUUGUUAAGUCUGCUACUUGGGGAGUACGUCCGCAAGGAUGAAACUUAAAGGAAUUGGGCGGGGAGCCACCGCAACGGGAGGAACGUGCGGUUUAAUUGGAUUCAACACCGGAAAACUCACCAGCAGCGACUAUUACAUGAAAGUCAGGCCGAUGACCUUACUAGAUUUUUAGAGGGGUGGUGCAUGG